CGGACGGGUGAGUAACGCGUGGGUAACCUGCCUUGCACUGGGGGAUAACACUUAGAAAUAGGUGCUAAUACCGCAUAAGCGCACGGUCCUGCAUGGGACAGUGUGAAAACUCCGGUGGUGCAAGAUGGACCCGCGUCUGAUUAGCUGGUUGGCGGGGGUAAAGGCCCACCAAGGCGACGAUCAGUAGCCGGCCUGAGAGGGUGGACGGCCACAUUGGGACUGAGACACGGCCCAAACUCCUACGGGAGGCAGCAG
This 255-nucleotide ribosomal RNA is filed under the name uncultured bacterium. Its description in RNAcentral is "partial 16S ribosomal RNA". It matches the Rfam family "Bacterial small subunit ribosomal RNA", at positions 99 to 354 of the family's 1533-position model. The record is from RNAcentral.